RNAcentral lists this long non-coding RNA (595 nucleotides) under Salmo salar (Atlantic salmon). RNAcentral describes it as "lncRNA (ENSSSAG00000096409.1)". The record is from RNAcentral. Lineage: Eukaryota; Metazoa; Chordata; Actinopteri; Salmoniformes; Salmonidae.
GUGUUAUGUAGUUGUGUUGUCAUGUUGUGAAUGUUGUAUUGUAGUAAUCCUCAACUGUAUUUAAUGGUGUUAUGUGGUUGUGUUGUCAUGUUGUGAAUGUUGUAUUGUAGUAACCAACUGUAUUUAAUGGUGUUAUGUAGUUGUGUUGUCAUGUUGUGAAUGUUGUAUUGUAGUAACCAACUGUAUUUAAUGGUGUUAUGUAGUUGUGUUGUCAUGUUGUGAAUGUUGUAUUGUAGUAACCCUCAACUGUAUUUAAUGGUGUUAUGUGGUUGUGUUGUCAUGUUGUGAAUGUUGUAUUGUAGUAACCAACUGUAUUUAAUGGUGUUAUGUAGUUGUGUUGUCAUGUUGUGAAUGUUGUAUUGUAGUAACCAACUGUAUUUAAUGGUGUUAUGUAGUUGUGUUGUCAUGUUGUGAAUGUUGUAUUGUAGUAACCCUCAACUGUAUUUAAUGGUGUUAUGUAGUUGUGUUGUCAUGUUGUGAAUGUUGUAUUGUAGUAACCAACUGUAUUUAAUGGUGUUGUGUAGUUGUGUUGUCAUGUUGUGAAUGUUGUAUUGUAGUAACCAACUGUAUUUAAUGGUGUUAUGUAGUUGUGUUG